Molecule: ribosomal RNA, 253 nt
Filed under: uncultured bacterium
Lineage: Bacteria
Description: partial 16S ribosomal RNA
Rfam family: Bacterial small subunit ribosomal RNA
Source: RNAcentral
GACGUAGGGGGCGAGCGUUGUCCGGAUUUAUUGGGCGUAAAGAGCUCGUAGGCGGCUUGUCGCGUCGAAUGUGAAAUCUCAGGGCUCAACUCUGACAUUGCAUUCGAUACGGGCAGGCUAGAGUUCGGUAGGGGAGACUGGAAUUCCUGGUGUAGCGGUGAAAUGCGCAGAUAUCAGGAGGAACACCGAUGGCGAAGGCAGGUCUCUGGGCCGAUACUGACGCUGAGGAGCGAAAGCGUGGGGAGCGAACAGG